This is a long non-coding RNA of Hyla sarda, 294 nucleotides long. RefSeq lists it as uncharacterized. The transcript is spliced from 3 exons. The record is from RefSeq and is a predicted model, not a curated record. NCBI's taxonomy places the organism in Eukaryota, Metazoa, Chordata, Amphibia, Anura, Hylidae.
GAGUGACCUCCAUGCGUCGGUCCAUGGGAUCCUUGAGACUAGAACCGUCAUCAGAUGGGAUAAUGGUUCUCUUAGAAAGCUUGGCGAUGGCGUAAUCCACCUUUGGCCUCCCUGCGCCCUCCUGACCCUCCUGCAUCCAUAGAAGACAUCUAAGAGAAGUGACGUCCCGCAAAAUCCUCGGACUACAGGAAAAUGGCGCCAAAACCGGAAGUGUGGCUAGAGCGAGGUCCGCGAACUCUUCCCGGACCAAAGACAGAUGGCGGUGCGCACCAACCGGCGGACUCUACCUGCAAG